RNAcentral lists this ribosomal RNA (225 nucleotides) under uncultured bacterium. Its description in RNAcentral is "partial 16S ribosomal RNA". It matches the Rfam family "Bacterial small subunit ribosomal RNA", at positions 523 to 734 of the family's 1533-position model. The record is from RNAcentral.
UAGCGAAGGGGGCUAGCGUUGCUCGGAAUCAGCUGGGCGUAAAGGGCGCGUAGGCGGCCAUUCAAAUCAGAAGGUGAAAGCCCAAGGCUCAACCCUUGGGAAUUGCCUUUGAUUACUAGUUUGGCUUGAGACCGGAAGAGGUUAGUGGAACUGACGAGUGUUCAGAGGUGAAAUUCGUAGAAUAUUCGCAAGAACACCAGUGGCGAAAGGCGGCCUCAGCUGGCC